RNAcentral lists this unclassified non-coding RNA (247 nucleotides) under uncultured fungus. RNAcentral describes it as "partial contains 5.8S ribosomal RNA, internal transcribed spacer 2, and large subunit ribosomal RNA". Lineage: Eukaryota; Fungi. The record is from RNAcentral.
AACGCACAUUGCGCCCCUUGGUAUUCCAUGGGGCAUGCCUGUUCGAGCGUCAUUUGUACCUUCAAGCUCUGCUUGGUGUUGGGUGUUUGUCCUUGCUCUAGUGGCGGGACUCGCCUUAGAGUAAUUGGCAGCCAGUGCUUUGGUUUUGAAGCGCAGCACAAGUCGCGAUUCAAGUCUAUACGCUAGUUUCCACAAGUCUUUUAUCACUUUUGACCUCGGAUCCGGUAGGGAUACCCGCUGAACUUAA